UACAGAGGAUGCAAGCGUUAUCCGGAAUGAUUGGGCGUAAAGCGUCUGUAGGUGGCUUUUUAAGUCCGCCGUCAAAUCCCAGGGCUCAACUCUGGACAGGCGGUGGAAACUACCAAGCUGGAGUACGGUAGGGGCAGAGGGAAUUUCCGGUGGAGCGGUGAAAUGCGUAGAGAUCGGAAAGAACACCGGUGGCGAAAGCGGCGCGCUGGGCCCCUUCUGACGCUGAGGCGCGAAAGCCAGGGGAGCAAACGGG
This 253-nucleotide ribosomal RNA is filed under the name uncultured bacterium. RNAcentral describes it as "partial 16S ribosomal RNA". It matches the Rfam family "Bacterial small subunit ribosomal RNA", at positions 524 to 776 of the family's 1533-position model. The record is from RNAcentral.